AAUAUUGCACAAUGGAGGAAACCCUGAUGCAGUGACGCCGCGUGAACGAUGAAGGCCUCCGGGUCGUAAAGUUCUGUCCUUGGGGACGAUAAUUACGGUACCCAAGGAGGAAGCCUCGGCUAACUACGCGCCUGCAGCCGCGGUAAUACGUAGGGGGCGAGCGUUGUCCGGAAUUAUUGGGCGUAAAGGGUUCGAAAGCGGUUGUAUAAGUCAGGUGUGAAAGGCACAAGCUUAACUUGUGUAAGCACUUGAAACUGUACAACUUGAGUUAAGGAGAGGAAAGUGGAAUUCCUAGUGUAGCGGUGAAAUGCGUAGAUAUUAGGAGGAAUACCAGUGGCGAAGGCGACUUUCUGGACUUAUACUGACGCUGAGGAACGAAAGCGUGGGGAGCAAACA
RNAcentral lists this ribosomal RNA (396 nucleotides) under uncultured bacterium. RNAcentral's name for it is "partial 16S ribosomal RNA". It matches the Rfam family "Bacterial small subunit ribosomal RNA", at positions 360 to 774 of the family's 1533-position model. The record is from RNAcentral.